UGGGGUGUGGUGCAGCGGGAGCACAGUGGCCUUUGAUGGCAUGGCUAUCAACUACGUAUGCGGUUACGACCCGGGUUCGACUCCCGGCACUCCAA
Non-coding RNA from Giardia lamblia ATCC 50803, 95 nucleotides. The record is from Rfam. Lineage: Eukaryota; Fornicata; Diplomonadida; Hexamitidae.